AUUGAACGCUGGCGGAAUGCUUUACACAUGCAAGUCGAACGGCAGCACGGGGCAACCUGGUGGCGAGUGGCGAACGGUGAGUAAUACAUCGGAACGUGCCCAAUCGUGGGGGAUAACGUAGCGAAAGUUACGCUAAUACCGCAUACGAUCUACGGAUGAAAGCGGGGGAUCGCAAGACCUCGCGCGAAUGGAGCGGCCGAUGUCAGAUUAGGUAGUUGGUGGGGUAAAGGCUCACCAAGCCAACGAUCUGUAGCUGGUCUGAGAGGACGACCAGCCACACUGGAACUGAGACACGGUCCAGACUCCUACGGGAGGCAGCAGUGGGGAAUUUUGGACAAUGGGCGCAAGCCUGAUCCAGCCAUUCCGCGUGCAGGAUGAAGGCCUUCGGUUGUAAACUGCUUUGUACGGAACGAAACGGCGAGCUCUAAUACAGUUUGCUAAUGACGGUACCGUAAGAAUAAG
RNAcentral lists this ribosomal RNA (462 nucleotides) under uncultured bacterium. Its description in RNAcentral is "bacterial SSU rRNA". It matches the Rfam family "Bacterial small subunit ribosomal RNA", at positions 30 to 490 of the family's 1533-position model. The record is from RNAcentral.